Long non-coding RNA from Melanotaenia boesemani (Boeseman's rainbowfish), 521 nucleotides. RefSeq lists it as uncharacterized. The record is from RefSeq and is a predicted model, not a curated record. Lineage: Eukaryota; Metazoa; Chordata; Actinopteri; Atheriniformes; Melanotaeniidae. The transcript has 5 exons.
AAAAGAAUCAAGGACCACAACAAUCAGAGUGGCGCGAACCGAAAAACAAGCAAAUGGUUCGAGACAUUAGACCAGAUCUUGGGCCACCGACCUGCUUAUUCGGGGAACUCAGGAACAAAGGACUCGUGCGCUGGGCUUCUGGAGUUGAGAACCCGUGGUGAAAAUGGUUCCACCUCGGAGGAGUUCGAAGAGACGGAGCUGAACAGCAUCCUGGAUGCUCCCGCAGCCGCCAGCACGCCAUCCCGCCAUCGCUAAGUGAACAUUCCUCAAACCGAUGUUGCAUCAACAAGUAUCAGCCAGCCAUGUCUUGAUGCAUCCACCAUCUGCCAGCCCACAACAGUGACUAUUCUAGAGACGGCUACCACAUUGCCAUUAGCGUCCACCAGCCAUCAACAGCCAGCUGCCAGCACCGUCAGCUGCUCGAGACCUGGAAAGAGAAAACAGACAGACACUCUUCUGACCACUGUGCAGGAGAUGCUUGUGUCAGAUGCAGAGCUGCAACGCACAAGUGAUGAACGCUU